UGAGCAAUCUGCCCCUUGCUCUGGGAUAACCCCGGGAAACCGGAGCUAAUACCGGAUACUCCGGCUGGAUCGCAUGGUCCGGCCGGGAAAGGUCCGCCGGAGAGGGAUGGGCCCGCGGCCUAUCAGCUUGUUGGUGGGGUCACGGCUCACCAAGGCUACGACGGGUAGCUGGUCUGAGAGGACGACCAGCCACACUGGAACUGAGAUACGGUCCAGACUCCUACGGGAGGCA
RNAcentral lists this ribosomal RNA (232 nucleotides) under uncultured bacterium. RNAcentral describes it as "partial 16S ribosomal RNA". It matches the Rfam family "Bacterial small subunit ribosomal RNA", at positions 118 to 350 of the family's 1533-position model. The record is from RNAcentral.